This 461-nucleotide ribosomal RNA is filed under the name uncultured bacterium. RNAcentral describes it as "partial 16S ribosomal RNA". It matches the Rfam family "Bacterial small subunit ribosomal RNA", at positions 29 to 507 of the family's 1533-position model. The record is from RNAcentral.
AUGAACGCUGACAGAAUGCUUAACACAUGCAAGUCAUUGGCGAAGCUGCGCUUGCGCAGUCUAGCCAAGGCGGACGGGUGAGUAACGCGUAAGGAACUUGCCCUGCAGACAGGGAUAACAGACGGAAACGACUGAUAACACCUGGUAUUGUCAGGCUGGCGCAUGCCGGCCUGAUGAAAGGAGACACUGCAGGAGAGCCUUGCGUCCUAUUAGCUAGUUGGUGGGGUAACGGCCCACCAAGGCGAUGAUAGGUAGCCGGCCUGAGAGGGUGAACGGCCACAAGGGGACUGAGAUACGGCCCUUACUCCUACGGGAGGCAGCAGUGGGGAAUAUUGGACAAUGGGGGCAACCCUGAUCCAGCAAUUCUGUGUGCACGAAGAAGGUUUUCGGAUUGUAAAGUGCUUUCAGCAGGGAAGAAGAAAGUGACGGUACCUGCAGAAGAAGCGACGGCUAAAUACGUG